UACGACCUCAGGACUGGCAAAUUAGCUUUACUCAACAUGCCCCGAGUCAGAUAACUAAAAUACCUUAGUCUAGGUAGAUACUUUCACUGGAUAGGUAGAGGCCUUUCCUACAGGGUCUGAGAAGGCCACCGCAGUCAUUUCUUCCGUUCUGUCAGACAUAAUUCCUCAGUUUAACCUUCCCACCUCAAUACAGUCUGAUAACAGA
Molecule: long non-coding RNA, 205 nt
Filed under: Homo sapiens (human)
Lineage: Eukaryota; Metazoa; Chordata; Mammalia; Primates; Hominidae
Description: non-protein coding lnc-NEGR1-6:1
Source: RNAcentral